This 31-nucleotide non-coding RNA is filed under the name Rattus norvegicus (Norway rat). The record is from RNAcentral. Lineage: Eukaryota; Metazoa; Chordata; Mammalia; Rodentia; Muridae.
UAAGUUGUAUAUUUCCUUUGCCUUUCACUGU